This 464-nucleotide ribosomal RNA is filed under the name Vreelandella stevensii. Its description in RNAcentral is "partial 16S ribosomal RNA". It matches the Rfam family "Bacterial small subunit ribosomal RNA", at positions 338 to 795 of the family's 1533-position model. The record is from RNAcentral. Lineage: Bacteria; Pseudomonadati; Pseudomonadota; Gammaproteobacteria; Oceanospirillales; Halomonadaceae.
CCUACGGAAGCAGCAGUGGGGAAUAUUGGACAAUGGGCGAAAGCCUGAUCCAGCCAUGCCGCGUGUGUGAAGAAGGCCUUCGGGUUGUAAAGCACUUUCAGUGGGGAAGAAAGCCUUGGGGCUAAUACCCUCGAGGAAGGACAUCACCCACAGAAGAAGCACCGGCUAACUCCGUGCCAGCAGCCGCGGUAAUACGGAGGGUGCGAGCGUUAAUCGGAAUUACUGGGCGUAAAGCGCGCGUAGGCGGUCUGAUAAGCCGGUUGUGAAAGCCCCGGGCUCAACCUGGGAACGGCAUCCGGAACUGUCAGGCUAGAGUGCAGGAGAGGAAGGUAGAAUUCCCGGUGUAGCGGUGAAAUGCGUAGAGAUCGGGAGGAAUACCAGUGGCGAAGGCGGCCUUCUGGACUGACACUGACGCUGAGGUGCGAAAGCGUGGGUAGCAAACAGGAUUAGAUACCCCAGUAGUC